This 287-nucleotide unclassified non-coding RNA is filed under the name uncultured fungus. RNAcentral describes it as "partial contains small subunit ribosomal RNA, internal transcribed spacer 1, and 5.8S ribosomal RNA". The stretch from base 1 to 73 matches the Rfam family "Eukaryotic small subunit ribosomal RNA", at positions 1759 to 1831 of the family's 1831-position model. Lineage: Eukaryota; Fungi. The record is from RNAcentral.
UCAAACUUGGUCAUUUAGAGGAAGUAAAAGUCGUAACAAGGUCUCCGUUGGUGAACCAGCGGAGGGAUCAUUACAGAGUCUCUGACUCCCAAACCACUGUGCACAUACCUGUUUUGUUGCUUCGGCGGGCCCGCCUCCCUCUCGCGGGGGCGGCUCCGGGCCGCAAGGCUGUCCGCCGGAGUACACGCUGAAAACUGUUCUGAAGUUGGCUUCUGAGUGGGAUAAACAAUACGUUUACAACUUUCAACAAUGGAUCUCUUGGCUCUGGCAUCGAUGAAGAACGCAGC